ACCAAUCUACAGCAAUAUAAACUGUUACAAUGGUAUCUGAAGCAAUUUGCUAUUUAACAAUGUUGUCAUUUUGUAAUAUAACAAUUUGAUAAUACAAAAAAAUCAUGCUUGUCAGUGGAAUCAUUGCUGAAGUGAAACUGAUCAAGCCUGGUGUAUCUCACUACUGUCACAGGAAACGCUCGGAUCAGAACCAGGACCAAGCAGCAGGGGGAGUAGAGCUCUCCAGCCAAGCACAGCAACCUGAAUGUGAAGAACCAAUUUACAGUGAGAUUGAGACCAGCAAACACAACAAUACAAAGAAAGAUACUGAAGAACCAAUUUACUGUAAUACUGACACAAGCAAGCAAAACAAAAAAAAGAAAG
Long non-coding RNA from Acipenser ruthenus (sterlet), 363 nucleotides. RefSeq lists it as uncharacterized. The transcript is spliced from 3 exons. Lineage: Eukaryota; Metazoa; Chordata; Actinopteri; Acipenseriformes; Acipenseridae. The record is from RefSeq and is a predicted model, not a curated record.